UUUAUGGAGAGUUUGAUCCUGGCUCAGGAUGAACGCUGGCGGCGUGCCUAAUACAUGCAAGUCGAGCGAACGGACGAGAAGCUUGCUUCUCUGAUGUUAGCGGCGGACGGGUGAGUAACACGUGGAUAACCUACCUAUAAGACUGGGAUAACUUCGGGAAACCGGAGCUAAUACCGGAUAAUAUUUUGAACCGCAUGGUUCAAAAGUGAAAGACGGUCUUGCUGUCACUUAUAGAUGGAUCCGCGCUGCAUUAGCUAGUUGGUAAGGUAACGGCUUACCAAGGCAACGAUGCAUAGCCGACCUGAGAGGGUGAUCGGCCACACUGGAACUGAGACACGGUCCAGACUCCUACGGGAGGCAGCAGUAGGGAAUCUUCCGCAAUGGGCGAAAGCCUGACGGAGCAACGCCGCGUGAGUGAUGAAGGUCUUCGGAUCGUAAAACUCUGUUAUUAGGGAAGAACAUAUGUGUAAGUAACUGUGCACAUCUUGACGGUACCUAAUCAGAAAGCCACGGCUAACUACGUGCCAGCAGCCGCGGUAAUACGUAGGUGGCAAGCGUUAUCCGGAAUUAUUGGGCGUAAAGCGCGCGUAGGCGGUUUUUUAAGUCUGAUGUGAAAGCCCACGGCUCAACCGUGGAGGGUCAUUGGAAACUGGAAAACUUGAGUGCAGAAGAGGAAAGUGGAAUUCCAUGUGUAGCGGUGAAAUGCGCAGAGAUAUGGAGGAACACCAGUGGCGAAGGCGACUUUCUGGUCUGUAACUGACGCUGAUGUGCGAAAGCGUGGGGAUCAAACAGGAUUAGAUACCCUGGUAGUCCACGCCGUAAACGAUGAGUGCUAAGUGUUAGGGGGGUUCCGCCCCUUAGUGCUGCAGCUAACGCAUUAAGCACUCCGCCUGGGGAGUACGACCGCAAGGUUGAAACUCAAAGGAAUUGACGGGGACCCGCACAAGCGGUGGAGCAUGUGGUUUAAUUCGAAGCAACGCGAAGAACCUUACCAAAUCUUGACAUCCUUUGACAACUCUAGAGAUAGAGCCUUCCUCUUCGGGGGACAAAGUGACAGGUGGUGCAUGGUUGUCGUCAGCUCGUGUCGUGAGAUGUUGGGUUAAGUCCCGCAACGAGCGCAACCCUUAAGCUUAGUUGCCAUCAUUAAGUUGGGCACUCUAAGUUGACUGCCGGUGACAAACCGGAGGAAGGUGGGGAUGACGUCAAAUCAUCAUGCCCCUUAUGAUUUGGGCUACACACGUGCUACAAUGGACAAUACAAAGGGCAGCGAAACCGCGAGGUCAAGCAAAUCCCAUAAAGUUGUUCUCAGUUCGGAUUGUAGUCUGCAACUCGACUACAUGAAGCUGGAAUCGCUAGUAAUCGUAGAUCAGCAUGCUACGGUGAAUACGUUCCCGGGUCUUGUACACACCGCCCGUCACACCACGAGAGUUUGUAACACCCGAAGCCGGUGGAGUAACCUUUUAGGAGCUAGCCGUCGAAGGUGGGACAAAUGAUUGGGGUGAAGUCGUAACAAGGUAGCCGUAUCGGAAGGUGCGGCUGGAUCACCUCCUUUCU
Molecule: ribosomal RNA, 1554 nt
Filed under: Staphylococcus aureus
Lineage: Bacteria; Bacillati; Bacillota; Bacilli; Caryophanales; Staphylococcaceae
Description: 16S ribosomal RNA
Rfam family: Bacterial small subunit ribosomal RNA
Source: RNAcentral